This is a non-coding RNA of Mus caroli (Ryukyu mouse), 423 nucleotides long. Lineage: Eukaryota; Metazoa; Chordata; Mammalia; Rodentia; Muridae. The record is from RefSeq and is a predicted model, not a curated record.
UUUCGAACCAAGGUUGUGGCUGCUUCAGCAUCAAGUGUUGAGAAGAAGAGGUAUCAGGAAUCCUAUACAGUGACCUGCUGGAGCUAAACCUGGACCUGGAAGCAAGCAGCAAGAACUCCCUGGGUAAUGAGGACAAUAAGAGCAGCACACAGCAUCUCCUCCACUGCCUCUCAUUCUGCUCCAAAAGCCAUGGCAGCUCCCACUCAAGCAGGCAUCAAGCCUAACUCCCAGCAUGGAUAAUGUGAGAAGUCUGUGAUUGAACCCACAGGGACCUCAAGGUUCUGUGGGAGGACAUCUAGUGAUUCCUGGAGCACCUGCAGCAGCCAGGAAACAUGGAACUAGAGUGGAGCAGCCACCCAGAGACCUUCACAGAACUGUGGGUCAUGCUAAUCAGAAUAAGGGGCCAGAGGUCACAUCCCAGGU